UCAGACGAUGCGUCAUGCAUAUCAAUAAGCGGAGGAAAAGAAACUAACAAGGAUUCCCCUAGUAACGGCGAGUGAAGCGGGAAGAGCUCAAAUUUGAAAUCUUAAAGGGUUUCCCUUUACGAAUUGUAGUUUAAAGAAGUGUUUUCUGUUGAGGUUUUGGUAAAAGUUCUUUGGAAUAGGACAUCAUAGAGGGUGAGAAUCCCGUAUUUGACCUUUACUUUCAACUCUGUGAUACACUUUCAAAGAGUCGGAUUGUUUGGGAAUGCAGUCCAAAAUGGGUGGUAAAUUUCAUCUAAAGCUAAAUAUUGGCGAGAGACCGAUAGCGAACAAGUACCGUGAGGGAAAGAUGAAAAGAACUUUGAAAAGAGAGUUAAACAGUACGUGAAAUUGUCAAAAGGGAAGCGUUUGACACCAGUGUUGUUUUUCUGAAAAUCAAUUAAAGAACUGUUUAUGCUAAGCUUGUUUAGACUUUAUCAGCUAUCUGUUUAGUUUUGAGCUUUUCUUUAAUGCACUUUUCAGUUAACAAGUCAACAUCAAUUUCUUUUGCUGUAAAAAAGCUUGAGGAAGGUGGCUUGAGAUUCGUCUUAAGUGUUUAUAGCCUCUUGCCUAUGCAGUCGGAGAGAUUGAGGUCUGCAGCGUAGAUCCUUCGGGGCUAAAUGCAUUUGUGCUAAGUUAUAGCAUUUUAUAGACAACUUGUUGACUAUGAUUUGUCUUGUAGCUUACUCGCUUAUGUUAUUUUACCUACGCUUAGGAUGUUGACACACGCGCGUGCUCG
Molecule: ribosomal RNA, 775 nt
Filed under: uncultured Neocallimastigales
Lineage: Eukaryota; Fungi; Neocallimastigomycota; Neocallimastigomycetes; Neocallimastigales
Description: partial large subunit ribosomal RNA
Rfam family: Eukaryotic large subunit ribosomal RNA
Source: RNAcentral